UUGGUCUGUAGACACCACCAUGUUUGUUGUGAAACGCCCAGAACUUGGAACUGAAGACAUUUCCUUCGUUGCUUACUCCAGGAAUGAAAAAACUGGUGAAUACCGCGAGAGUGGGAAUGACCUGUGGUAAUGAUAUCUACCAUCUUUUAGGACACAGACCGGCUCUUGAAUCUUCAGCUUGACACCUGGAAGAUGAGCCUCGUUGCCCUGCUCUGGCUUAGGAAGAGGCAGUCCUCCAGAGGAGCCGUGUCGGCCUGUACAACACAGCUCGGAGUUGCCUGCACCAGGAUUCAAGCAAAAGUCUAAGGUUAAUAUGGACGAGACUGCGUGCACGGACACUUGCUGAAGGCAGGCUGAGCGUGGCUCAGUUCACUGCAGAGGAGCAGGGCAGACUGGGUGGGGCCAGCUCUGGAAUUCUACCCACGGAGCAAAGUCAGGCGGCGGGGGAACAGCUUGAGCCGAAGCCGCUAGUAGGAAGUCCAGCCCAGCAGGUAGAACAUGGGAUCUGGAAGACGUGGCAGUCACCCAAAAACACAAUCUGGUGAAGUCAUCUGUGUUGGGGGGAGUGGAAGUCCCGAUCAGGAAUCCUGUCCAGAAAAGCGGGACUGCAGAAGUCUCAUGGUGCACGUAGGCGCCCCAGCCACAGGCAAAGCUUCAAGAGCAGCGCUUCCUCCACUUCCUGUGGGGCAAUGGCAAGAUCGGGUGGGACCUCAGGCUUCAGGGGCCCAAGAACAGAUUAUUGGGACAGGACCUCAGACGUAAGGAGAAUGACAGAUGGGGAUCCUCUUAGAGCUGAGGUAUGCGAUACUGCUCAGUCCCAGGCGUCGUUCAAUGCUCAGAGCCAAGACACAAAGUCAUGACUGGCCUGGAGACCGGUACAGCUUGAUGCUGAGUAAGUUUUAGAGUCUAGAGCUACCGCUGCCUUAGUUCUUCCUGCCUCUUCAGGACCAGUCCCAGAGACCACAACCAGGUAAGAAGCUCAAGUGGCCCCAGCCUUUGGGGGAGAAGGAACCUGACCUCCGCAAUAAAAGCAGCCCCACAUGACAAGAGCCUCGGUCCCAUAAGAGUCCUGCCACAGGGCAGCAGGAAUGGGCUACGGACAUUUCACAGUGGAACCCACCUGGAAGGACCACACGACUAAUGAACAAUGGCCCAGUGCCACUCAGAUACUAGUUGUACAGGUGGCCUUAUAUUUCUUGCAAACUAAUCGUCCCUGUCAGAAGGCACAAUUUCACCACGGAAAAAAUGAGCUCCAGUGAUGCCUCUGGCUCCCCACCUGGGAGUCUCUAUAAGAUGUUCCUCCAAGUACUAAUUGGAUAGAAAAGAACCAAAGGCAGUGGUCUGUGUUUCCUCCUCCUCCUGCAGUAAAUGAGCCUAUGAUUUUAGACAUAGAAAAGCAGCUUCGAUGCUACAUGAUAUUUCCUCCAUAACCCUCUGGUUGUGGGAACAGUCUUUUGCCCCUGAGUCGGAAGACCCCUCUGACUCAUCUUGCCACAAUCGUGAAGAUAAUGACCUCUGAGUUCACUCCUCAGCCUGCUACUACAGAGAAAGGCUUCCUGGGGCCCUCACCUGCAGGAGCCGGAUCUGUUGUCAUCGUCCAUGUGAAUCAUCCAGCCUUCUAUUCCAGCAGCUGCCAUAAAACACCCGUCCCUACUCCCUGGCAGACAGCCUCUUAACACCCACCUCCCUUCACCUAAGUCCCCAGCAGAGGGCUUGCUGCCUUCCCAGCUCUCCAGGUACUCUCCCCUGAUGGAGGAUGUUUCUUUCAUCAAAAUGACUUUCUUCCACCCUGGCUGGUGUGG
Molecule: long non-coding RNA, 1802 nt
Organism: Artibeus jamaicensis (Jamaican fruit-eating bat)
Lineage: Eukaryota; Metazoa; Chordata; Mammalia; Chiroptera; Phyllostomidae
Exons: 4
Source: RefSeq, a predicted model, not a curated record